GGGCACCACCAGGGGGUGCAGCUGCGGCUUAUUUGACUCAACACGGGAAAUCUCACCACGCCCGGACACCGGAAGGAUUCACAGAUUAACAGCUCUUUCUUGAUUCGGUGGGUGGUGGUGCAUGGCCGUUCUUAGUUGGUGGAGCGAUUUGUCUGGUUAAUUCCGGUAACGAACGAGACUCUAGCCUGCUAAAUAGGCGUCGUCAUUUAGGUGUGCUCGACUUCGGUCGUGCAACUCACUGGCGACGUAUUAAAAUUCUUCUUAGAGGGACCGGCGGCUUCGAGCCGCACGAGAUUGAGCAAUAACAGGUCUGUGAUGCCCUUAGAUGUCCUGGGCCGCACGCGCGCUACACUGAAGGAAUCA
Molecule: ribosomal RNA, 363 nt
Filed under: Tapena multiguttata
Lineage: Eukaryota; Metazoa; Arthropoda; Insecta; Lepidoptera; Hesperiidae
Description: SSU rRNA
Rfam family: Eukaryotic small subunit ribosomal RNA
Source: RNAcentral